GUUUUGGUAUGGAGUCAGAGGAAGA
RNAcentral lists this non-coding RNA (25 nucleotides) under Cricetulus griseus (Chinese hamster). Lineage: Eukaryota; Metazoa; Chordata; Mammalia; Rodentia; Cricetidae. The record is from RNAcentral.